ACUCGUAUAUACACUACAAAACUAAUUAGACACCAUAGUAUGAUAUGUAUAAUGUACAAAGCUUAUACUAUUACUUCAAAACAUCCAUUACCCGAAAAAUUAGGGGGAGAGAGAGAGAGUAAACUAAGGCUAAGCCUAAGGGCAGCUGCAAGUUGAGACAAAAACUGAUUGGGAUCAACACAUGAUUGUUGUAAAGAAAAGAAAUGCUUUGAAUACCUGAAAGAAAAACUUUAGCAUAGGUUACUUGAGUGGGGUGCACAAAUGGCUUGCAUAUGGUAACAAAUGACAGUACCACAAAUUUGAGAACCCCAUCAUGACUAGAGCACCUGAAGUCCUGAACAAAGGCCUCUGGCCCUAUCAAAUAAUCAGAAAGAUCUACUAAUUUCUCUACUCUUAAAUUUCCAUGUCCAAUCACCAUCAUUUAGUAAAGGAACCAGCAUUUUAAGAAUUUCACUAAAACGUAUAUUAUUCUUUUAUACAUCCAAUCUCUAAUCUCUACUUUGAUUUUUUAUGUAACAAAAAGCACCGACGUGUGGUCGACACAUGUGGUUAAAGUGGUGUGGAGCCAUGCACUUGGGGGAAGGGAGGGGGGGGGGGGGGGGCGGAGUUGGUGUACCCAACACCCCCACGCGGGCUUGUAACCUAGGGCCCAGCAAGGGAAGAUCAUCGUGCACCCUGCACUUUCCCAGUCUGCCCAACCUCUAUUCACAUUUAGUAAAAAAAAAAUUGUAUUUGAUUCUAAAAAGGGGCAAAGUCAGAUGUUAAAUCCAGCACCCCCCGUGGAAUACCCUGACCGUUGGUUUAGGACACUGUCUCUAUGUAUUGGAUUCUCCUGCCCAAUUUAACUCUUCCAAAGCCUCUUACAGCUAUUAUAUUUCUGUUUUUUUUGCAAAAUAAUAUGAAAUGAGUGCAACAUAGAGGUUACUUAGUAAAAAUGAUGGGAUACAAGCAUAUUUUCUGAAAGAUAGAUAAGAUAUGCUGACGGGGUAUUGUGCCUCAAGUGGGUAAUUGGUAUUUAAUCAUUUCUUUCACAUCAGCCAACUCCAUCUUUUUCUUUUCCUCCCUUUAUUAUUGGUAUUAUCUCUCUCUCUCUCUCUCUCUAGUGUGGGAGAAAGAUAGGAAGAAGAAAAAGAUAUCUUACGUCUCCAAAUCUUUCAUUUUUAAUUGGCAAAUGUGUUUGACUAAGUUACCAGAAAUUGUCUCUAUAGAAAUCCUGACAUAUAACUAGAAAUUAAUUACUUCUAGUGGAGUUCUCACUAUUAAAUUCACCUCCUUUUUGCACCAUAUUAGAUAUCAUACUAAUAUUUGGAUUUGGGGUAUUUGUAUUGGAGAUAUUUACCUGCAUCAAAAGGAACUUGUUUGGUGUUGGACCAUUUUCCAACCACUGUUUGCUCAUAUAAGCUGCUUGACAAUCCAUCAACCUACAUAGAAAACUUGAUACAUAAGCUAUCACAAUUAAGCCAAAUCAAGUGGCGUAAACAAUGUACUCUGUUAGAUUAUUUACUGGGCAUGCUACUAAAAUUCUCCACGGUUCAAAUAAAAUCAUUGUUAGGACGCCUACGACGCUUCUGCUCAAUAUGGACUAAAAAGAUGAACAUAAAACAAAUGAAAUGACAGGCAUCCUAUUAGAGUCUAUAGAUUAGUCUACCAAGAAAAGGCUUCGUCACUUGGUCAAAAAAAUAAAAAGAAACUUCGGCAAAGGUUGAUGAAUUUGUGGAGGAGAUUACAAUAAUGUUUAGAGGCAUCCUGAAAGAAACAUUAUCUCAUUCUCAAGAAAAAUCUAUAGACAUACUGAGACCAAAUCUAAAUCACAAACAUUAAGAAUUUGUGUAUAUACUUAUGUACAACAGAUAAAUGAAGCAGUGACUAGAAAAUAAAAAUAAAAAACAAAAUAAAAUAUACAAGGAUAGUAAAAGGGACAUCAUGUUGAUGGUAAUUACGGUAGGUUUGAGAACAAGAAUUGGGAGGUGUCCAAUCUUGUUAAUGAGGUCAAAGGGAGGCUUUGUAGCUGGAACAAAAUCUUCCAUGUGGUCGAUUCCAAUGUUCCUUUUACCUUGUGGUGCUCUAACGAGUACGCACCACUUGUAUGAUGUUUUUGGUACUCCUGGUACCGCCCAAGUUUUUUAAUAGAUUUUUAAUUGAUCAAAACAAAAAAAAAAAAAAAGGUAAUUACGGUGGACUAUCUAUCGAGAAAAUGGCACUAUCUAAGAUAUAAUAUACAAGUACAGUAGACAAAAAAGUGGGGCUGAUGUACGUAUUCAACCACAUUAAUCAUCUUCAGCCUCUUUAUCGCCAAUAUGGGGAAAUGACUUCCAUUGGCAAGGAAAAUGAAAUAUAGGAAGAGGCAACAAUAAAACAGGGAGCAAUAGAGACAAGAAAAGAAAGAGGAGUCAGAUUUCGUCUAAUGGUAUUGUUGACUACUGAGGCCACUCAACCCAAUAUCAGGAAAGCAAUUAACUCCAUAAGAAUUCUUCUACUUGAGGCAUUACACAUUUCCUUUUUCUAGUGGAUGAAUACAAUUUAAAGUACACCCAUACAUUAAUCACCUACCCAUUGUCCCAUCCCACCACAAACCGUACAUGAUUUUCCAAACUGCAUAAAAGUGUUGGUUGUGUGGCUAAAAUAGAACCUCAUAUCCUGCAAAAGUGAUCUAGAUCAGGGAGAUUCUCAAAUCAGCACUAAUUUGCUUAACCAAAUGGAAAAUACUCCGUGAACACUAAACCCUUGCAGCAUUAGACUCGGUAAGAAGCUCAUCAUGACUAUAAAAACAUCAAUUAAUGGACUUGCCACAUUAUCUUGGUAUAACAUAAAUCAUCUUGACUAAUUUUGAAGACUCUGAAAGAAUCAUCAACUUGCAAAUAUCUACCUAAUGUUUAAACCAUAAACUAAAACAUUUAAUAUGCCAAAAUAGUGAAAAUACUAAAUCUGUUCACAUCAUGAUUCCACAAUCCGACCUGGGAACACUUAAACCACCUCAACCACAUCAUGAUGUUACUCAGUUAACAGAGAAUGCUAAAAUUUCAUAUAUCUCAUACACAUACAUACGUGUUUGGGAGUAAAUGUAGUACAACAUAGUGGAAAGGUUUGCAGCAUAGCAGUUCAAGCCACAUUAGCAAAUGGAUCAUUCUGUUCACCCAAUUCUGCUAGAAUGACAAAAGCAGUUCUAUGCAAAAUUUAAAGGAUUAAAGAAUCAAUACAAUCUAGCUAAUAAUUAAUUAUAUUAUUUGUACUUAUACAGCUUUACAGCUUGCCAAUAUUAUAAAAUGCAGGAUUUUCUUCUCUAAAAUAUACAUGUGGUGCAAAGAAAUGCUAAAGAAUCAAACAAAUAACUAAUCAUACACUAUAUACUAUCCAGCUUUGUACCACAUCAAUAAUAAAUCAAAUGCAGUUUUCAGUGUCCAGAUGGCACACGAAAUAAGAAACGUGAUAUCAAGUAAUAAAUUUUGCGUCUAAAACAUUCCUUUCUACCAAAGUACACUGCUUAUGCUUCCUGCAAUGUGCUUCAGGUAAGGGUUUUCAUCUGAUAUAUUGAAAUUUGAUCAUGUAAAGAAUAUAUAAUAUCUUAAAUAUUAAAUAUGGUUCCAGAAAAGUGGUUGUUGAGUCACCAAUUUCUUUUAUGCAAGUUUUCCACUUUCAGAAAAGGGAUUGUGCUGCCUCAGUAUCCUCCUAUUCAUUUAUGUCCUUGAACAUUGCUGGCUUCAGACCAAUGUUUAGUUGAAAACUUCUAAUCUAGGCUGACAAUUAAAACCAUUUUUCUAAACUGACUUCACAUUCCAUUUCGUACUGGGCCAUUCUUUCCACAACAUUCCCCAAAUCAAUUAUUAUAAUCCCAAUUAUAAACUCCCCCACAUGUAAGCAUUUUUUUUCAUGAGAUUAUCCAAUUCUCAUCUAAAUAUUAAUUCAACUUGUAUAGAUUGCCUACAUAUGGUCCAUGGGUGUCAUGCAACAUACAACCGGUGUGUACAUGGACACAAUUAACCCUGAUGCAUAGACUAAUACAUCAUGUUACAUAGAUGAAUAUAUGAGAGCUUAUAAGGCCACUAACAGUUUGGUGUCAGCCCUGCAUUCUCAUUUUUUUGAGGAAUUCUACAGUACUCUAAUUUCAUAUGAUGGGGCCAAACUACCUUUUUGGCAUUCUAUAAAUCUACCCCUUCCCACUAGUUUCCUUCGCCUUCAACUACCAGCAAGACUUCUUUCUGAGAUCUCCCAUAAACUUGUUCCACAACCUCAUCUCAGAAAAUCCGCCCAGUUCCAUUGAAGCAAUGCAACCCAAUGAGAUUGCUGAGCUUCAUUUGUUAUUUCCUUCAAACUCAGCACAAUAUCCUCCCAAUUUUGGCUCAACCAGUAACUACCCACCAGCUUAUCAGUUUAGCAGGUUCCCCAACCCUUUAUAUAACCUCCAUGCCACACCCCAACUUCAAGAAUUCAAUCCUCAGACAACAUGUUUCAGCAGUAAUUCGACGUCUGAUGAAGCAGAUGAGCAACAACUAAGCAUAAUAAACGAGAGGAAGCAAAGAAGAAUGAUUUCAAACAGAGAAUCUGCAAGACGAUCACGCAUGCGCAAACAGAAACACUUGGAUGAGCUUUGGUCACAAGUAGUCUGGCUCCGUAACGAGAAUCACCAGCUCGUAGACAAACUGAACCAUGUAUCAGAGCGUCAUGACCAAGUACUCCAGGAAAAUACUCAACUCAAAGAAGAAGCUUCAGAGCUUCGUCAAAUGCUUACUGACAUGCAGCUGAACAGUCCUUAUCCUAGCUUACGAGAGCUUGAUGACGAUCCCAGCAGUGAAUUGGCUUAAGCAUGAAUAAGUACUCAACUUUCUUCUUGCGUUUCCUGUUUUGUUGCUGAGAGAGAUGCUAUUAUUUCGUCUUAUCUUAAUCCCUUUAACCCAUUGGCGUUGUCUCGAUCAAUAUGAAACAAAAUCCAGUUAUUAUUCGUAUCGUAUGAGAUAACAGCUAUGCUGCAAUAAAAUCUAAUUUAAUAAAUCCAAUGAUAUUGUCAAAAGGCUAAAUUUAUUUUUAAGUCCUGGGAUUAGAUUCCUCCACAACACAGACGCCAAAAUUUCUGAACUGCGACCACUUAGUAAAUGUCUACUGACAGACGCAGGCACUACUAAAAAGCACGAACUGCAACAAGAAUCAGUCUCUGAAUCCGAACAAGCAACUGCCCCGACACAAUUUCAGAUACCCAAUUCAGACACUUCCAAACAUAGCAACCAAUACCUAAAUAUAGAAAAACUAAAUACAAAGACAUGAUGCACAAACAAGAGAGUAAAAAAAGUAAAAUAGAGACAAUUUCCUCAGAGUGUCAUGCACUAUUUCCACAAGCUACACUAUGGAAAAUGAAUGACCAAACAGAAACAUUUGCUGUUUUUCAAAUUCACCAAGCAGACAAUAAGGCAAAACAUCACAGAUGAUUCAGUUUUGGCUAAUAAAUAUGUUCGGUGUGGCACUUAGGGACCACUUGAAUUCCUCCAAGUCAUAUUCAGUUCGGCAUCUAGGGAACACACUGUGCAUUAAUCUCACCAUCUUCAAUUUUCAAAGCCACAUAUCAGCUUUAUCUACGAAUUCUUCUCUUCAAACAGUAUUGAUUUAUACUAACGAUGAAAAUAUAUUCUAUUUCGAAGACAAAUCAUGCGACAUUGCCAUAUAAGGUUUCCAUGAAGAAAAUGGCAAUUAAGGAAUAGAAAUUCACCGAGCAUUAGGGAUUUAAUCUGGAUAAUGAAAUUGCAACUCCGUAAUUUCACCUGCAAAUAAUUACAGCAGCUCAUAACUAAAACUGAUUUGCGAGAAUUACAGUUUCAAUUUAAAAAUAUUCAAAUUCCACUCACCUCCCUCAGCUAGGAGAGUUCCAGGGUUUGAAUUCGUUUCUACAGAUGUUUCAAACGCUUAAGCUGUUCUGUAGUUUUUAUUUUCUUUUAUUUUUUAUUUUCUUUUAUUUUUUAUUUUCAUUUCCCCAAAAUAUAUUGCGUGAUUGUAACUAAUUGUAACGAAUCAAGGGUUUCUUGAAGUAAAACUCAUUCUUUUAGUUAUACUCCUCAUUUCCAUUCCAACUCAAGUAGUAGUAUUUUUUUUUUUUAGGCAUAAUUAUAUAGGAGGAGGUUAAUUAAUUAAAUCAUUAAAUAGUAUUGUGAAAACCAGGGGCUUAGCCCACUGGCCACCGGGUCCUCACUUGAGUGAAGUGACCCGGGUCCGAUCCCUCUUGGGAGCGAAUUGGAGAUUGGAGAUAUAAGGUGGAUUUUGGUGAAUGGAGAGAUAAGGUGGUUCUUGGAGUGGAUGAGGAACUAACUACUUACAUCUAACAUGAUUUUGCCCGAUCAAAAAAAAAAUUAAAUAGUAUUGUGAAAAAUUAAAAACUGAAGAAUCUUAAAGAUUUUCAUUUAAUUACUCAAAUAUAUUUAGAGCUGGCAAAAUUAGUCCUAUCCGAUGAGCCGGCCCAACUUAGCCAGAUUUAGGAUUGGUCUAGCUCAAUAAAAUAGAGGCCCAAAAAAAAUAGGCCUUAAAAAAGUUGUUGGGCCGAUUGGGUUUUGGGGCUAAAAAGCCGGGGUAUUUGAGUUUUUUGGUCUAUUUGAUUUUUUUAAUAAUUAACUUAUAAUAUUUACUUAUAUAAUUAUAUAUUUUAAAAUUUAAAAUAAAAAAGAAUUAUUAACAUAUUCAUGCUCAGAUUUCACUCUCAUGUUAAUUGAAAUUUUUUAGUUUUUUGAAUUAAACAUGAAAAACAUGAUAUAUCUUGAAUUAAGUAUGAGGUAUAAGUUAAUUAAAUAUGUAUAUGCAUAUUGCAUGCAUUUAAAUUAUUUAUUUUUAUAAACCCCUUCAGGAUAUAAUGAAUAUUAUCAUUCCUCUUUGAUUUUGUUGUGAAAUUGAGUUUGCCCUCACUACAAGAAAAAGUAGUAUUUGUGACGAAUUUUUAUGACAAAAUCAAUUUUUGUUACAUUUAGAUAUCUUAUGUGAGGAAAUUUAUUAUCGUCACAUUAAAUUCUAAAAUAUGGGGUCACUUUUACAAUUAUCUUUAAAAUUAGGUCCUUAUAAGCAAAAAACUAAAAUCCCUUUUUUUUCAUUCAAUUCAAUUUGAUAUUCUAAUUCCUCUCGCUCUCUAUUAUUCAGAACUCAGCAAUCCUUUCUAGAUCCUCUUUCAAGUGUUAAUAGGCAAAAGUGCCCCAUUCCUUAUUCAUAUUUUGAAAAAUGCCCACCUUUAUCAUACAAAGCUAUCCAUGCCCUAAAUUACUAAUUAACCCUUGAGUGGGUCAACAUCUUAAGUAAUCAUUUCGGUCUUCUUACACAAUCUUACACAUUUUUAAGUUCCAAUGCAUUUUUGUACAAUAAUUUGUGAUGUUGACCGAAAUGAUUACACACUGAGUGUGUAAUAUGAUUUUUUUAAACUGUAUAUAUAUUAUCGACCGGAUAAUUUAAAGUGUAAAUAUUAUCGACCGGACACUAAUUAACACUUAAACAAUAUAUUAAAUUAAAUUCAGCAAAAUAGUAAAAAUUAAUAUAAAGAUAGCAAUAGAUAGAAAAAACACUUUUAUGUUGAUAUACCAUCGAUCCGGCCGGUGAAAUGGCCAGAGAAAUGUAUCCGACCGGGUACAUUUCCGAAAAACAAUGACCCGGCCGGAUACAUUUUUCCUUGAAAAUUACCGGCCGGAUAGAUAUUAUUUAGGCAUAAAAUAUUAUAUUUUAUUCAAUUUCAUAAAAAAAAAUCAAGAAGCUAAUAAUAUAUAUCCAUGCGUAUCUAUCUUAAAUUUUUAUUUUUUUCCCUUUAAUAUCUUAAUUUCAAUACAUAUAUUCUUUGAAAUUAUUUGUAUAUAUUGUGUUAUUCUUGAAUGUUGAUAUAUAGUAUAUAACACUAUAUAUAUCGUGUUAAUUAAUCCAUAUCUUUAAAUAUAUAUAUAUAUAUACUCAAAAUCCGUCCCAAUUAAAUGCAUGCGUGUUACCCAAAAAAAUCAUGCAUGUUACCAAGUGAAUUUUGCAACAACCGAUACAUAAAGGUCAAAAAUAUCUUUCUAAAAAAUUUGAUUCUCUUUUGAUAGACAUAAAGCCGAUACAAUCGGCUUCAAUCACAUUUUUUUCGAAGCUUUUAACACCACUAUAUUUACCUUCCUUCACUAGGGUUUUUUACUCACCACACAUAUCGGCUUCUUCACUUUUUUUUACCCACCGAGAGAGUUCAAAAUAUUGAAGCACGUCGUACUCAUCAAUGGCAUCUUCUUCACAGGUUUUUAUUUUUAAUUUUCAUGAAAUUGAAUAGAAUAGAAUAAUUUAUGCUAAAAAUCGAUCGGUCCGGCCGGUGAAGUGGCCGGAUAAAUCGGUCCGGCCGAAUUCAUUAUUUAAAUGAAAUAUACGGCCGGAUUGAGUUUUCCGGGAACUUCACCGGCCGGACCGAUCGUUUUUUAGCAUAAAAUAUUCCAUUUUAAUUAUUUGUAUGUUUAUAUUAAUCAGUUAGUAAUUUACUGAAUUUAAUUUAAUUAUAUUUGGUUAAGUAAUUAUUAUUGCGAGUUUUGCUGGGUAUUACUGAAUUUGUUUCAAUCUGAAAUAUUUGUUUAAGUAAUUAUAAUUGCAUUGUGUAUGUGGGCUUUGUGCGAUUUAAUAAAUUAAAGUAUUUUAUGCCGAUAGAACAACUACCCGGCCGGCACUAUGCCCGGAAUAAUGAGUCCGGCCGGGACAGUUUCAAUCUGAAAUGUACCCGGCCGGAUUCAUUUUACCGGACACUUCGCCGGCCGGAUAGUUGUUAUUUAGGUAUAAAAUACUUUUUUCAGUCUAUCUGUAUGUUUACGUUAAUUAUUACUAUUUUACUGAAUUUAAUUUAAUUAUAAUUGUUGAAUUAUUAAUUAAUGAAACUGUUAUUUCUUGGUAUUAAUUAAAUUGCAGUUUUUUAAUAUUUUACUGAAUUUAAUUAAAUUGCUUGGUAUUAAUUGCAGUUUAAUAUUUUACUGAAUUUUUACUGAAUUUAAUAUUAAAUUGCUGAAUUACUCGAAUUUUACUGAAUUUAAUAUUAAAUUGCUGAAUUUUACUGAAUUUAAUUGCAGUUUAAUAUUACUGAAUUUACUGAAUUACUAUUUUAAUAUUUUACUGAAUUUGACUAUUUUUCUCGAAUUUUAGUAUUUUACUGAAUUAUUGAAUUUUAAUAUUUUGCGGAAUUUAAUUGCAGUUUAAUAUUACUGAAUUUUACUGAAUUUAGUAUUAAAUUGCAGUUUAAUUAAAUUGGUUGGUAUUGAUUAAAUUGUAGUUAUUUAAUUAUGCCUAUUUGUAUUAUUUUUUAAUUUUUUUACUGAAUUUAAUAUGGUAUUCAUUUUGUAAAUGAAUAGGCGAAUGUCCCAUAUCUUCGUCGCGACACUAUAGACCAGACGGAGGUUGCUAUCAGCACCUACUAUAGGGAUUCACAUUUUCCGGAGCUGGUUGAAACUUUAAAUGUGGUCGGCGAACAGUGCAAUUCAGAUUUAUUGGGAAGAUUUAGAGCAUCAUGUUUUGGGCAUUUCACUGAUUGGAGGCCCGGCGCGAAGAGCAAUAAAGCAUUACACCAGAUUAUAUCGAGGCAGAUUGUGUCAGAAGAAAAUGAGAUCUGCUUCUUUCUGUGCGGAGCACGAGUCAGAUUUUCCCCUGCGGACUACGCAUUAGUGAUUGGGCUCAAUUUCGGGGGAUCGAGGUUCGAUGCGACAUUACAGCACGACUGCAGUCGCGUGGAGGCAUACCGACGAUUCUGCGGUGCGCGAAGCAUGACCAUACAGUCGCUCAUCAAACGCGUGUGCGAUUUGGAUCGUCGAGUGGAUGAUGAGGAUGGGAGCCUGUACCUUCGUGCUGUCCUCGUCUGCGCGAUCUAUUCGAGGGACAGGUAAUCAGUUAUUUAAGAUUAUCCUCCACACCGUUACUGGUUUUACUUAUGUUCUAAUAUAUUAUCUUUGUCGCUUUCUAGGGUGGGUGUCAUGCCCCUGGACCCGAUGUGACGAUCUGUCGAGUCACUACUUCAUAUCAGCGCUGACACCGGGCGAACUCUCGGUGAGCUUCAGGCCCCCCGACAACCCAUUAGCUCGGGGUGUCCAAUUUCCACAGGGCACCGGAGCCCGUGUUGUGGAGGAGCGCGGGGACGAGGAGGAUGUACCUAGAUAGCCUCGUACGACUCGCAGUCACAGUGUCCGGGGCCCUGUGAGGGAUGCUCGACAGCACGAGCCGGCUCGUCAUUCAGUAGAUCCGGGCUCGCGCCCUGUGAGGGAUGCUCGACCCCACGAGCCGGCUCGUCAUUCAGUAGAUCCGGGCAAGCGCCCAGCGCCGCAUACUUCUUCAUCGUCGAGCGGAUCUCGGACUGUAUCCAGUCCCAGCGAGGGUGAGGUGGAUCGUAAGUGGGUGAAGAAGACGAUCCGUCAGGAGAUUAAGAAGGCCUUCGGCAAAUUCGUGGAGAAACUGAAGAGCAAGGGUAAAAAGGAUAGGUGCAAGAAGAGCAAACAUUUCCGAGUGCCCGACUCCCCUGAUGAUGAUGACCAGCGACGGUCCCCUGAUCCUCCACAGCCACGGUCUCCUCCACAGCGACGGUCUCCUCCACCCAGUGCUUCAGGGCCCGACGCUUCAGGGCCAAGCGUUUCACGUUCCUGCGACGACGACCCCCGCGGUGAGGAACCACGCCAUCCAGAGACCCAGGCCUACCCAUCACGCCCUUCAGAUUAUGCCCAUUCCCGCCCAGCAGAGACCCAGGAUUACAACGAGCAGUGGCGGGCCAUGAAUCAGUCUGUUCAGGGCGACUACACACCGGCAGAGCAGACUUUUGACUGGUCGACCCAGGUCUACCCUCAUUGGUCUUCCCCAUUCCUGAAGCCGCAGUAUAGAACAGAGACCCCGAUAUUCUUUGCUGAACCGCUCACUUCUAUUGCACCACAUGAGUGGGGACAGUCCAGUUCGGCAGGACAGGCUCAGACGGAGGAGCCUGAGCCACAGGCAGAGCAGCCACAGGUACUGCUGCUGCAGCACCUAGAGCAGCCGCCGGCAGAGCAGCCGCCAGCAGAGCAGCCGCCAGCAGAGCCCCCGCGUCGCAGUCAGAGGGUGAGGCGUCCGUCUAACUAUCAGCGAUCGCCUUGGGUUAAUAGCCAAAUGCCACGUCCAGUGACACAAGUCUGCAGUGACCAUUAUGAGAAGUGGAUGGCUAGGUGUCGAGAGGGUAGGGGUCGUGAGAUUUGUUGCGCCGGUGAAUCUCCGGCUGAUAGGUCUAAAUAAGCAUAUCUUUGGAUUGCUUCCAAUCCGUCCCCACCUUCGAAUGUUGCACUGGAUUCACCUCCAUACCCGGAAGAUUGAGGGAGAUCGAACGAAGGAACAUACACUCCUCCACUGUAAUCGUCUUCAACAACAUAAAUCUCAAGAAAAUGUGGCUGCGACGCCAGCAACUGAAGCAAAUCAUUGUCAUCGGCAAGAAUAUUUUUACUGUAUACCCUGCCAUUUAAUCUCUUCGUCAAAUAAUACAAGCUGUAAUUAGUGCUCAAUGAAUUCUCCAUCAUCAGGUAAUUUAUCAUGUACACCGUACUGGCCAUUGUGUCUCCGAAAAUAUGCAAAUUCUUAGAAGAGUCGCCGAUGUACUCAUAACCAUUGAAGGCACCUCCAUAAUUAACCACAAAGUAUCUCCCAUAUUCAUUCAUCUACAGAAAAAAUAAUAAAUAAAUAAAUAUAUGAUGUAAAUGUAAUACAAUGUUAAAAUACAACAUAUAACAUGUUAAUACACUCGAAAAACAUCUAUCCGCCCGGGGAAGUAUCCGAAGAAAUGUGUCCGGCCGUGUAUUACAUGAUAUAUAAUUACACACGGCCGGACACAUUUUCGAGGACACUUGUCCGGGCGGAUACAUAAUUUUCGAGCAUAAUAACAUGAGUUAUGUAGCAAUAUAUAUGUAUAGAACUAAAAUGCAACUAAUAAAUUUACUAAUUUAAUACUUUAAAACAUGAUAGAAUUUGCUCUAAUUCACAUGUAUUUCCUUCAAACGUGGCUUUAAAUCAUAGUAUGCUAUAAUAUGCUAAUAAUUCACAUAAGCAUAUAGGAUCAAACAAAACAUUGAAAAUAAACAAUAACCAACUUAAAUUACAUUUCAACGUAAAAUGACAUACCUUUAAACGUUCGGAUGAGAGAAUUCACAAAUAAUAGCUUCACCACUUGGAAAAUAUUAGAAUUUCUAAUGAGUUUGAGUGUUUUUUCACUUUGAGUGUUCGGAUGAGAGGAUGAGAGAAUGAGAGAAUUCACUCAUAUAUAAACAAAGAUUCCUUCAUUUCACGUGAAUUUCAAUGAAAUUAGAGUGUUUGACAUGAAUACUUUACUGACAAAGCUAUUUCACAUCAUAUUUGUCGUUUAUCAUCAAUUUAAAAAAAAAUUAUGUCCCUUAAUUGAAGGCUAAUUAAUCGAUGGAAUAUAAAUACAAAAAAUUAACACAAUCCAUAUUAGCACUCAAAACACACAUAGGAACCAAAAAAACAUCUAUCCGACCGGAACAUAUAUGUGUCCGCCCGGUGAAACCUUGUGUCCGGUCGGACACUUGUUUUUCCCGGUCGGACGCGUUUUUGUUUUUUUUCCAAUGUGUGUUUUGAGUGCUAAUAUCGAUUGUGUUAAUUUUUAGUAUUUAUUUUCCAUUGAUUAAUUAGCCUACGAUUUACUUGUAAAACCUUCGAUUUUAAUUCAAAAAUAAAUAAAUAUUAUUUUCUCUGUCAGUAUUUCACAUGUUCCAACACAUAUUUGACCGAUUUCAAUGUUUAAAUUGUUGAAUUGAUGUUUUUCUUACACUUUAACAACUUUUGUCAUAGAUGUGUAAGUACUUUUGCGGAAAACAAUGCACAUCCAUCACAUUCAAAGGGCAUUUUCGGUUCUUCACUUAUUUAGGGCAUGUAGUGCUUUGCAUGAUAAGGGUGGGCAUUUUUCAAAUUAUUCAUAAGAGAAAGGGCACUUUAAAUUUUGCCUCUAAUAAUUUCCACUUUAAUUCAAUUAAUUAAUUCAACUAAAAAAAUAUUAUUAUUUGGUUUGAUAUAUUAUAGAGGGAAAUCUUAUUAUAGCCCCAUUUUAAAAUAACAUAAGUUUUAUAGCCCCAGUUUCCAAUACAUAAGUUAUAUAGCCAUUUUAGGCUUAAAAAUCUAUAACGUCUUUUGUCUUUUAAGCCUAAAAUAGUUAUAUAACUUAUGUAUUAUAAAUUAGGGCUAUAAAACUUACAUUCUUAUGAAAAAUGGCUAUAUGUAAUAAUUUCCACUAUAUUAAAUUAUUGACAAUUUAAGUUAUUUACGUUGUGUUUUUUUUAGUGAUAAGAAAUUAAAUAAAAAUAUUAAUUUACCAACUAAUUGUCACGCAAGAAUAAAUACGCCACGUCAAAAUUGGCACAGUACCAUAUUAUAUAUUAGCUUGGUAUUUGGCCGGAAUUUAGAUUAGUAGCAAAAUCAGAUAAAAUCAAAAGUUUAGUAAUCAUCACGCUACAAUUCAAAGUUUGUGUGCAAAAUCAGAAUUGGAUGAAAGUUCAGUAUUUUAUGGACAAUUAACCCUUUAUUAUUCCUUUUAUUAUUUAAAGAUGAUCAAUAAUAGUUCAUCAUUUGCUCUCCUAGGUGACUCGAACUCCCAUCUAUUGAUUGAAAUUAAGGCGUCAUAUCAAUUGAAUUCCACUUCAUUGUCAACUUGUUCACUUAUUUACCCAUAAUCAAUUUAACAUUAAUAUUGUUAGAGCGGCCACAUUAUCACUCAAAAUUUGGUGUGAUAAUAUUAUCCCUCAUGGCAAGCUUCCCAGUUGACCUGUUCCCUAGCUUCCCAAUAUCCACCAAUGUCUCCGAUCCUUUGUCUUUCACGAACCAAUGUGGCUUCCACCCUUUCUCUUGCAUCGACCUGGCCUGUUUCCAAUCAAAUCCACCACAUACUUUAAUGGCUUGAAUAAUUUGAGCUUACUAAUCUCAUGUAUUGCCAAUUUAAACACCCCCUCGUAUCUCGUGUAAGAUGUAUUUGGAGAAUGCGUUCAUGAAUUUAAACGAUAGCAGAGAAUAUAGGCAGGGACGGAUCCAGAAUUUUUUUGUCAUGGGGGCAUAAAAUAACUAUAUAUAAAAUUUGUUAAAAAAAACUACAUUCUUUGAAAAAAAAAUUACUACAUAAUAAUUCAAGUUUAUUAUAAUUGAAACCUACAACAAUAAAAAUUUAUUAUAUAAAAUAUAAUAUAAUUUAUAAUUACAGAAUUCAUAAUUAAUAUAUUAAAAUUUAUAUAAUAUAAUUAAUAAAAAUUUAUACAAAAAUAAUAAAGACAUUAAAAAUUUUAUAAUCACAGAAUUAUAAGAUUACAGAGUUUUAUAAAAAUUUAUAUUAUAAUUAAUGAAAAUAUGUACUCCCUCCGUCCCAAUAUUCAAGUCCCCUUUCCUUUUUUGGCAUUAAUUAGCAUACAAUUAAUACAUUUAAUUAUGUCUCUCUCUCCUCUCACAAACCAACCCACCUGCCUCUCUCUCUCUCCUCACUUCUCUCUUCUCUCUCAAAUCGUCAUCUCCCCCCUCUCUCAUCUUCUUCUUUCACCGCCUCGCCGCCUCCACCUUCCACCGCCUCGCCGCCUCCACCGCCUCUCAGCAAGGAAUAAGGGCGGCGACUCGCCGGCGAACAGCAGCGGCGGUUCGCGGAGAGAGGUGUUGUUGUGUUGGCUUGUUGUGUUGGCUUGUGCAGUUGGUGUUGAUGUGUGAGCGUCAGUCGGGGGAGAGAGGUGAAUCGAAGCUUGAGGGGCGGAGGAGCGUGAAAUGAAUUUUUGAGGAGCGUGAAUCGAAGCUUCGGGAGAGAGGUGAAUCGAAGCUUGAGGAGCGUCAGUGCGGACGCCGGAAAUCGAAGCUUGAGGGGCAGAUUUAGAGAUCUAGAGUUUCAGUGUGAUUUAGAGAGAUGAAGGUUAGGAGAAAGGGGGAGGCGAUUGGCGGCUUUGCUAACCGUUGCGGCUGUCGGAAAUCGAAGCUUGUUGUGUUGGCCUUGCUAACCGCUGCGGCUGCCGGAUUUCAGAGGGAGGCUGGCGGCUGAGUUGCCGGAGGAGGCGGCUCUCUCCUUAGCGAUUUAGCGAUUGAGUGUUUUGUGUGGGUGUUAAUUAAGAAAUAAAAUAAUACUAAUUAAAACACUAAUUAUGUGGUCCCUACUGUUUUUACAUCUAUUUUAACUCUCCUAAAUACCCGUGCCCAAAAGAAAGGGGACUUCAUUAUUGGGACGGAGGGAGUAUUAUAAUUACAGAAUUUUGAGAUUGACAAUAAUAAAAUAUAAUAAAAUUUAUAUAAUUAUACAUAUAUAAUUAAUAUAUAUAGAAAAUGUUGUUUUCCGUAAAAAGGUUUUAACGAGGCUCGGCCCUUAGUCUGCUUUCUUGUGCUCUCAAGGUUCAUUAGGUUUUUUCUUUUUCUUUCUUUAUAAAAUUGCAUUUUAAUAAUAUAGAAAAUGUUGUGGGGGCACGUGCCCCCGUACUGGGAGCCGUGGAUCCGUCUCUGAAUAUAGGCAACAAUCAAAAUCAAGGUCGAGACAAUUUGGAUCAAGACUGUGAAACACUCAGAAGGGACAUUAUGUUUACUUGCAUAGGCACUUGUUACUGAACUAAAAUGUUUGAGCACAAGUAUUAUGAGGUAUAACAGGUAAUGUCUGCAAUAUUCGUGAAAAACUUUCAAGUUCGAGAGUAAGCCCAGAAGUCACGAGAUCAACUAGUUACUCCCCAUUUUCCAAGCACCUCUGAUCAGGCCUCAAUCUUGAAUCUGUUGUCUCCUGCAAAAAGGUGUUGAAUCCAAUGUCACGAAACUUAAAACGACACAUUCCCAAUAUGUGUACCACAGCAUAUGGAUUGCACACUUUGAACACCAAGGCAGCAUCCGAAUCUAAUGGGUCAAAUUAUGUACUCAUAGAAGCAUUAUUGACUUCUUCCUAUGGGAUCAAGUUUGUGAGACGGUCUAACAAGAGACCUAUCUUCAAAUAUUAAUACAACCAAACACAACUAUUUCACAGCAAAAUAUUUUUUUUGACUGCAACAUGCUGCAAAAUAUAAUUGGCAAACUGGCUUAGAAAGGUAACAAAGGGAAAUUAAUAAGAUCACCAUUAAUCCUGGAGUAAGCUCAUUCAUUGUGAUGGCAAAGCGAGUCAAGUUAUAACGUGUUCCAUAGUAAUCGAGCUUCAGAUAGAGAUUCAUGACCUUUUCCUUUGGAGCAAUCUCCAUCAACAUAGUGCAUGCUCUCAUCCCAUUUCCCAAACAAAGUUGCCACAGUCUUUCCACUCUUGUCUUGGACAACUUCCUGCACCUGCAUUCUCAAAGUUGCUUUUAUGGAGAAAUCCUGAAGAAUAAUACUCCAGAAGCAUCUAUCUAUUAUUUAAUAGAUUACAUAUUCAAGGACUCCCCUUAAUUCAAGAUCCUAUGUGGCACAUCCUCUAUUCUCUAUUCUAAUUUAUCUUAAAUCCUCAUUUAAUCAUUCUAAUCUAUACAUUCUAUCAUCCCACAUUGAAUUUAUAGUAGUCAAUGACUACUAGAGAACACAUAUAAAAGGAUUAGAUAUAAUGUGUAUUUCUCCAUCCCUCAAUUAUUUUGCACAUUUAAUUAAAUUUGAUUUAUUAAUUAGUUGGCCAAAUAAAUAGUUUUAUUUUUAUUGAAAAUUUUGUUUUUAUCAAUUAUUAAAACGUCAAUGCUAAUUGGCUAAGUAAUUGAUUUUUUUUAAUUAGAAAAUAUUUAAGUUCACAAAAUUAUAAGUUGACGUAAUUUGAAGAAUCGUAGAAUUGCAUUUCUCCAUAUGUUAAAUAUUUGAGCAAAUAAUUAGAAAAUAUUUGCUAGAUUUUUAUAAUUUUUGAAACAUAAAUUUUUAAACUGAUGUAUCCCCUUAGAAAAAAUUGUCAUGAUUAUGUGAUUUUCUCUAUUUUUUAAUUUUAUUCAUCUCAAGUCCUCAUUUUAAUUAUUUUUUAUCCAAUCCCACAUCAAAUUUAUAGUAGUGUAUGCCUACUAGAGAACAUAUAUAAAAUGAUUAGAUACAAUGUGUAUUUUUCCAUAUUUCAAGUAUUUGCACCUCCAAAUAAACAUAUAGUAGUGUAUGCCUACUAGAGAACAUAUAUAAAAUGACUUGAAGAAAUAUAGAAUUGCAUUUCUUCGUAUGCUAAAUAUUUGAGCAAAUAAUUAGAAGAAAAUAUUUGAAAAAUUAUUAGAAUUAUGAAACAUAAACUUUUAAACUGAUAGUAUAAGAUAAAAUCAAUAUACUUCUCUUAGAAAAAAUUAACAUGUAUGAUUAUACGAUUUUCUCUAUUCCUUAUUUUUAAUCAUUUUUAUCCAUAUCUUCUCCAAUACCACAUCAAAUUUAUAGUAGUCUAUCAUUACUAGAGAACAUAUAUAAAAGGAGUAGAUAUAAUAUGUAUUUUCCCAUCCCUGAAUUAUUUUGCACCUCAAAUUAAAUUUGGUCAGUUAAUUAGUUGGUCAAAUAAAUAAUUUUAUUUUUAUUGAAAAUAUUAUUUUGAUCUAUUAUUAAGAUGUCUAGCUAAGUAAAUGAUUUAAUUUUAACUAGCAUUUACACCCCGUGCAAUGAACGGAAAAAUAUUUUAAAUUUUUUUAUUUAUAUUAAAGUAAUACUAAUUUAAUUAUCAUACUUAUAAAUAUAUAUAUAUAUUUAUAUUUUAACUGAAUAUAUUUGAGCAAAUAAAUAGAAGAAAAUAUUUUCCGGAUUUUAGAAAUUGUCAUGGAUGAUUAUACGAUUUUCUCUAUUCUCUAUUUUUAUUUUUCUUAUGUCCUUAUUUUAAUCAUUUUUAUCCAUAUAUUCUUCAAUCCUAUAUCUAAUUUAUAGUAGUCUAUGACUACUAGAGAAUAUAUAUAUAAAAGGAUUAGAUAUAACGGUAAAUAUUACUUUAAACCCCAAAUUAUGUUCACACAAUUAAUUAUAUCUUGAACUAUUGAAAAAUAUUUUUUAAGACUUAAACUAUCGAUUUUGUAUUAAUUGUACCCUUCAUCCAUUUUUCACUCCUUAAAUUUUCAAUUAAUAAAGCAUAUAAUGAUGUUGUUUUAUGGAGUAUAAAGCAUGUUAAAAAAGGAUUGAUUUUGAAUAAUCAUAACAUCCGGCGAGCCACGUCAAAUUUUCAGAGCCAAAAAAAUAGACGAGUGGUGCAAUUGAUACAAAAUUAAUAAUUCAAGGUUUGUAAAAAAAAUCUAUAAUUAAGGAUAUAAUUGAUAGUGUAAAAAUAAUUUGAGGUUUAAAGUAAUACUAGCAUUUGCACACCGUGCAAUGCACGGGAAACUUUAAACUUUUAUAUUUAUAUAAAACUGAUAUCAACUCAAUUAUCAUAUCUAUAAAUAUAAUUUAAAAAUAGUUUUAACUUAAUAUAUUAAUUUGAAAUGUAUAUUGAAAAAAUAAAAAAAUUACAAUAAUAAAAAUUGAUGUAAUGAAAAGAAAAAAAUUACAAUAUACUCCCUCCGUCCCAUGAAGCAAGAUCAAGUUUCCUUUUUGGUCUGUCCCACGAAGCAAGACCAGUUUCUAAAAGUAGCAAAAAAUUUACUCUUUAUUCACCUUUUCACUUUUUCAUCUACCACACUUAACACACAAAAUACCAAUUUCGAACUUGGUCUUGCUUCAUGGAACGGAGGGAGUAUAUUGCAUACUGCAUUCAAUCCAGAAGUUUUUAAAGAUAGAGAUAUUUUGGAGUAACUAACGAGAUGAUUAUUCGUGUAAAUUUUGCCGGCAUCAUUAACCAAUUAUUGAUUUAUAUUUUGUUUAUUUAUAUACAUAUUUUAUAAAUUUAAAUAACUUCAAGAAAUUAAUUGGUAUUACACACACACAUAGAUAUAUAUAUAUAUAUAUAUAUGUAUAUGUAUAUAUAUGGGUUUGGGACGAUAAUAAUAUUAAUAUCAUCACAUAUAUAAUUAGAAAAUGGAAUACUCCUAUGUAGCAUCACCAUAGUUAUGCAUUUUUAUCUAUCCUAUUUCUCAAAAAAAAAAAAAAACAUAUUUAUUAAUUCUUAUUUAUCUAAAUCUUCUCAUCCCACAUUGAUUUUUUUUAUGAAAAUUUACCAAUUGAAAUACUAAAUAAAUUGAUACUAUAAUUUGAAUCUCGUAUCAAUUUGUUAAGUCUUAGACGAGAUGAUUCUCAAAACUUAGUUAUGGUCUUUCAAACUUCAAAUAAGAUGAUGCUUACCCAGUUUUAUUCUUUCAAACUCCAAACGAAAUGAUGGUUGAAAUUCAGUUAUUCUAUUUUAAGCUCCAAAUGAGAUGAUGCACAUAACUAUAUAUGUUAUGGUUUUUGAAGCUCCAUACAAGAUGAUGUUUAGAAGUUAGUUAUGGUAUUUUAAACUCCAAAUGAGAUGAUGCACAUAAUCAUGUUAUGGUUUUUCAAGCUCCAUACAAGAUGAUAUUUAAAAGUUAGUUAUGAUCUUAUAAGCUUCAGAUUGUAUAAUCUCACAAAUCAGCCCUGAUCUUUCAAGCUCCUAAUGAAAAUAAUGUUUAGAAGUAAGUUAUGAUAUUUAAAGUAUCAAAUAAUGAUGUUCAAACGAUUGACGCAUAAAAGCCAGAUAUAUUGUUUCAGGGUCCAGACGAGAUAAUCCUAAAAAAUUUGGCGUUCAAAAGUUAAAUAUUGUCUUUCGAGUUCUUGAUGAUCCUCUGGUCUUAUAGAGUUGAGAUGGGAUGAUGCUUAUAUGACAUAUGAGAUCUUAAAUUAAUUUUUACCUGUCAAUAUAAAAAAAUUGUACAAAAUUUAUAUAAAAGAGUAUUUUUAUUAUUCUAGCAAAAAAUGAACAUUUAAUUGACGAAUAUAGUUGAAAUUAAUAUAACAUAAACUCUAUUAAAAAUAAUAUAAAUAAUUUAAAUCAAAAUUUAAAGUCCCGUCGAAUUUCGACGGGUUAUACACUAGUAGUUACAUGAAAGCAUCAACUUGUCAAGAUAUAAGAUAAGUUAUCAGGAGAAUCUUCAUCUAGCACCAAAUAUUGUUGCAGAAAUAUGCUGAGACGCUAUUCAGUUUGCAGGGUUUAGUUAUUUUACAAUUGUACACGCACCAACAAAAUUAAGAUAACUCAGUUUCAUCAACAUAUAUAAGCCUGAUUCGAAAUGUGUACAAGCCUUUGAUUCCAUGAAACAUAAUGGUCCAUUUCCAUUUAUACGACAUUAUUUAAGAUGGUUUAUACCAGAAUAAAUGUUGACAUUUUCAUUUUCAUUAGCAUGGUAAAUAGAACCAUGUUUUGCAUUUUAGUGAUUCAUGGAUUAAAAAGAAAUUAAACCAAAAUUUAUAUCAUCAAACAUUUCCAUCUUGUUUAUAUUAACUUUUUCAUUUCGCAGGACACUUUUUCUUUCUUAUUGUAAAAGAGAAAAGACAUAAAACAUAAUUUCACAUGCCUCAAGAAAAAGAGAAAAAAACCAAAGUUACCUACUUUAGAUAGGUAUAAAAGAUAUUAAUGGUAUGAGAGAGCACCUGAUGAGGAUUCCGGUCUAUGAUGGACUGCUCCUUGAAUAAUUAAAUGUGGUAAUGUGGUGUGGUCCACCAAAAAGUAUGAGUACUCUUUUUAUGAAAAGACUAAAUAGUACUCUCUUAUUAUUACUUAAUAAAGCCUUAAACAUUUCCAUAUUAAGACUGAGCCAAUUGGAGUGGGACAACCUAAAAUGGAAAAUGAGGCUAUUGGAGUGGGACGAAUGUAGUAAUAUUAUUAUUAAUAAUUUUAAUUUUUUUAGUUUAUUAAUCACUAAUUUGGAUAGUUCUAAUUAUUGUUAUUUUCAUCAUUAUAUGAUACUAAUUAUUGUUAUUUUCAAGUUUAUAUAAUAUUUAUGUUGUUAUUUUCGUGUCAGAAGUUGAAGAUAUGAAAUUAUUUUAUUUUUUUAUUUUUCUUUUGUUAGAGAAUGCUACUUGAUAUUGGUGUAACUAGGGUUGUCGAUCGGUUCGGGUUCGGUUAUCCGUACCCGAAUUUUCGGUUACCCGAACCCGAAAUUGUCAUAUUUCACUAACCGUUUUCGAACCGUUUUAGGUAUUCGGUUACCCAAUAACCGCUUCGGUUACCCGAUUCGGUUAUUUGUGUAUCCGAAAUACCCAUUUAAAAAAUUUAAAUUUAAAUAAUUUGCUAGAUAGAGGAUUUGAACCUUAGUCUCUAAAAAAUACACAAAGCAACUUAUCCAUUAGACUAAAGCUCAUUUUUAUACCUUAAAUAUAUCAUAAUUUUAUUUUAGCUAAAAAUCGAUUUAAAAAAAUAAAUUAAUUAAUUAAUGAAUUAAUAAUUAAAAAAUAUAUAUAAUAUAAUAUUAAAUAAUUUUUGGUUAUUUUGGUUGGGUUAACCGAUACUCGAAAUUUUUCUAAAAAUGAUACCCGAAACCGAACCGAUAAUCAAAAAAUUCGAUUAUUGGAUACCCAAACCCGAGAAAUUCUGUUCUGUUAACGGAUUAUCCAAAACCCGAUAACCAAUUAGACAGCCCUAGGUGUAACAAUGAUGUUAUUCAAAUUGCGCCCACCCUAAUAAAUUAUGAAGGACUUGCAUCGGUGGACCGGUGGUUCAUUUCAACCAAUACAAGCUUGAUGGCGAACUAUAUUAUGUAUUAAUUUCACCACAAAUUGCUUACUUUUUCAACAUCUCCCCUACUCAACUUUCACAUCACAACUUAACCAUCAAAUUGAGUAAAACUAGAAAGUCAACCGUUUUCCUUAGAUAGUACUCCAUCCGUCCCAAUUUUUAGUAUCCAAAUUUCUUUUUUGAUCCUCCCAUAUUUUGGUAUUUAUUUUAAUUUUUCAUAAAAGUAGGUGGGGUCCUUACUCCACUAUAAUUAUUUUAACUCUCACAUAAAAAGUUAGACCCUUAUUCCACUUACAACACACCAAUCACUUUAUUAAAAUACGUGCCGUUCUCAAUUGGAUACCAAAAGUCGGGACGGAGGGAGUAUGAAAUAUUAAAUUUGAAUUACACGUUGUCAACAUUUGACGCACUAAGAACGUGAUACCGUGACAGAGGGCUUCCAAGACAUUACGAGACAAAAUACAUGCAUAGGUAAAAUAGAAAUAAAAAUUUUGAAUAUAAAAAAAGUUAUUAUUAUUAUUAUUAUUAUUAUUUUUAAUCUGAAAUUUUUUAAUGCACAUGAUUGAACAUAAAAAUACAUGUUUAUAAACAUAAAUUUGCAUAACUUUGCACACAAAAAUGCAUUGCAUAUUUUGUGGCAACAACAUGCAUAUUUUUGUGUGCAAAGUUAUGCACGAUCUCUAUUUAAUUAUAUAUAUAUAUAUAUAUAUAUAUAUAUAUUUUAAUAGUUGAAAAUAAUUUUUUUAUCUUUGAGGGGGUUGAAAAGUAGUCUUGGUAGCAUUAAAUUCUAUCUGUGCCAUGCAUAUACAACAAAUUUAUAGUGUCCAAAUCAUACAGCUUUGCAAAUAUUGUCCAAAAUUUAUUCUGGUCCAUCCAAAGCUCCAUUGUAUAUCACGAACUCUUGAGCAAUAUAUAUAACCUUUAUUACAACAUAAAUAAUCAAAUUAAUCAUCAUCUCAUAUUGAGACGCGUUAAAUUGUUUUUUCCUAAAUCCAUACAUGAUAAAUACCAAAAAUAUUUAUAAAUACGAGCUUAAUUAGAUCUGAUCUUGGCCAAAAAAAUUAUAUAUAUAUAUUUCUUUAACGUGAGAUUUGCUCACCUGCAAAUUAUAAGUCAUGUACCACGAAUUCGAUUUAUGGUUAAACAAAACCUAGUCACUCUAGGAAAUUGUUUACCUGAAAAUAUAUAUAUCCCAAUAUUAUUUUUACCUCAAUUUUUAUGGUUGACUUGCUGAAUUAGUCAAAGUAUAAGCAAACAAUUCGUGUAUUUGACAAAGAGUUGAACACUUGAAGUAGCUAGCUAGUGACUUAGUAAGAACAAGCCAAACAAUAAAUUAAUUUGAGAAAAAGGAGAUUAUCAUGUUAGAUUGUCUCAUCAUAAACGAUCAAUAAUUUGGAUUGCAAACUCCUAUUUCACUAACAAUACUAUUAUAGAUAUUCUGAUACAAUUGAAUAUAAAUUUAUAUCUAUAUCUUGACACGUGUCAUGAUGGAAAAAUCUUACACAAUAAUUUGUAUUUGAAAAGAUGAAAUUUGGCAGACGCCAAUUCAAUUACAAUAUGCUAAAAUUCUUGGGUUUUAUAUACAAUCGAAUUCCCUAAUUGAUCACACCGACAAAUUCUAAACCAAACUUCAAAUUCAACUCUAGCUAAAUUCUAGGUUUUCUCCAACUGAAUAACUCUUAAAAAAAGUUUAAAUACAAUCAUAAUAUACGAAAAGUUUAACCAACACAAAAUCUUAUGUAGCAAUGCUUUUCUCUAUAGCACUUGAAUCCAGAUAACGAUAAAUGACUCGCCUAACAGAUCUUAACUUAUCGAGCCGUAUUACACGAGACUUGCUUUUAAUCAACAGAAAAAAUUUAUGUAAGAUAAUCUGACGAGUCAAGAUCUAUCACUCAUAUAGUUAAUAAUUUUAAAAUAUUUUAUCGUGCUCGAAAUCCGUAUUACACGAUACUUGCUCUUUAAUCAACACAAAAACUUAUGUAAGAUAGUUUGACGAGUCAAGAUCUAUCACUCAUAUAUUCAAUAAUUUUAAAAACUUGUCGGGCCAUAUUACACGAAACUGCCCUAUUACGUGAGACUUGCUUUUAAUCAACACAAAACCUCACGCAAGACAGUCUAACGAGCUAAGAUCUAUCACUCACAUAUCCAAUUAUAUAUAUUUAUAAUUCAAAAUUACUUUAUAGUGCUUCAAAAUUCAGAUAAUGACUCGUCUAACAAAUCUUAACUAGUUCGAACCGUUUAACACAUAAAGAUGUCACUUUCUUGCAUUAGUGAUAGGCUAUAACUAGUCACGCUAGGGGGAGACGUGGUCUUGAGCAAGUCAAUGGACACGCCAUAGGAAAAGAUCCACAACACGAAAAGACCAAAAUACCCAUCCCUAGCCUCGUAUAAUCCUCGUCAUUCACAAGGGCAAUUUAGUGAAAUCAAACCUAAUAUUUUUCAAACGUUAGAAGCUUUAUAAAUUGGUCUGUUAGAAGACAAAGGAAAACGGCUUUCAUUGUAAUCUUGACAACUGCCACACAUUCACCAGGGCUAAUAUAAAACACACACAACACACACUCAUAUAUCCCUCUGUCUUUUUCCAAUUUUAUUAUUCCCUUGUCUUUAAAAUUAAAUUUCUUUUGGGGAAAUUCGGAAAGUGGCUUUAUUUAUUUAUUUUGUUAUUUGAUAUAUAAAAAUAAUUCGAGGGGUCUGGAAAUUACGUUAGGGUCAUAUUGUUGCAUUCCCUUUCUGCGGCCGGGGGCGUCAAGUUUCCAACUUUGAGGGAGAUCUCAUUUGGGUUUUGUUUGGUUUGAUUUGGGUCUGCAUUUCUUGAUCUCGAGAUAAAGAGGGUGAUUGUUUGGUGAUUUUAGAGAGAGAAAGGGGAGAGAGAGAGAGAUGAGCGGUGUAUCAAGAAUUUGGGAGAAGGUGAAUAUGAUGGCGGAAGGAGGAUCUCGGAAUUGUUCCAAGAAAUCUGAUGAUAUAUGUGGCGAUGCCUGUGGUGAGGUAAAAAAAAAUCAUCUUUUUUUAGGGGGUUGCGUUUUUUGCUAAUGUAUGGCAUAAAAAGAGUGUGGGUUUUUUCCUCGCCUUUUUUCUUUUUAAAAUUCUUGAAUGUCUUGUUUCGGUUUUCGUUUGGGUGGGGAUUGUGGUUUGCUUUUUAGAUUCUGUAAAAAAAAAAUUAUUUUUUUAUUUUAUUGAUGAAACAUCAAUGGAUAAAUUUUUGAUUUUGGACUAUUGGGAUGAGGGAACAUUUGAAAUUUCGUUUUGUUUAGAGCAAUUUUGAGCUGUAGUUUUGUGUGUGUGUGUGUUUUAUUGAGGGAUUAGAUCAAAUUCCCCCAUUUAUGUAAUUAUUAUUUCUGGGAAUAUAUCAGCGUGAAGAAAUUUUAAGAUCCUGUGAUUUUUCGUUUGAAUUAUUUUGUGAAUGUUGCUUUUUUCUGGUUUAUCUACCGUUAUACCUCAUUUGAUUGGAGUGGGAUCUGAAAGAAUGUCCUGUUCUCAAUAAUAUUAUUUGGCACUUGCUUGAAUUUUCAAUUUUAUUGCUCUUAUCUUAUGCCUUGCAGGAAUUAUUCUGUGAUUUGUUGUAUGGUUUUCAUUAAUCUAUUGAAAGUCAUUAAAAAUGUUGUAGGGAAAGUAAGAUUCUUGCUUUAUUUGCAAUCUGUGAGGUCCAUAUUUGAAUAGCAUCACAAUGGAGAGAAUCUAGCUGUGGAAGUUGUGUAUAUGUUGGUUCGAGUUCGUGUUGAAUCGUAUGUAUGAUUGUUGCAGUUUUUCUAAUAAAUUUGGUGUUUGUGAAAAUUGCAGGAUUCAGGAAGGGCUUUGAGCAUGGCCAGAUUGAGAUGUAUUCUGCGGGGGCUGGAUUUCAAAGCAUUGCUCUUUCUCUUUGUGUUGAUCCCGACGUGUGUCUUUGUUAUAUAUGUCCACGGCCAAAAGAUCACGUACUUUCUGAGACCGUUAUGGGAGUCCCCGCCCAAGCCUUUCCACGAGAGACCUCACUACUAUCACGAGAAUGUGUCAAUGGAGAAUCUGUGUAAGCUUCAUGGUUGGGGGAUACGUGAGUACCCUAGACGUGUCUAUGAUGCAGUGCUGUUCAGCAACGAGGUGGACAUCCUCAAGAUGCGUUGGAAGGAGUUGUAUCCGUAUGUGACAGAGUUUGUCCUCCUUGAGUCGAAUUCCACCUUCACCGGGCUGCCAAAGCCCAACCUCUUCUCAACUGUCCGCGAUCAGUUCAAAUUUGUUGAGCCCCGUUUGACCUAUGGGCAGGUCCCGGGGAGAUUCAAGACGGGAGAGAACCCUUUUGUUGAGGAGGCGUAUCAGAGAUACACGUUGGAUUAUCUUCUCAAGCAAGCCGGCAUUCAGGAUGAUGACCUUUUGAUAAUGUCGGAUGUUGAUGAGAUCCCAAGUAGGCACACGAUCAAUCUCUUGAGGUGGUGCGAUGACAUACCCCCGAUCCUUCAUCUUCGUCUCAAGAACUAUCUGUACUCGUUCGAGUUUUUCCUUGACAACAACAGCUGGAGAGCCUCUGUCCAUGUAUACCAAUCUGGCAAGACGAGAUAUGCUCACUACCGACAGUCUGAUGAGAUCUUGGCUGAUGCAGGGUGGCAUUGUAGCUUCUGCUUCAAACGCAUCAGCGAAUUCAUAUUCAAGAUGAAGGCUUACAGCCACGUGGAUCGGGUGAGAUUCUCUCAUUUUCUGAGCCCUAAGAGGAUCCAGAAAGUGAUCUGCAAAGGUGCUGAUUUGUUUGACAUGCUGCCCGAGGAGUAUACGUUCAAGGAGAUAAUCGGGAAGAUGGGGCCGAUCCCACAUUCCUAUUCGGCCGUUCAUCUCCCUGCAUAUCUCUUGGAGGCAGCUGAUCAAUACAAAUUCCUCUUACCUGGGAAUUGCAUAAGGGAAAGAGAGAGUGGCUGAGCUACACGAACGAGGUCGUGUAUCUUCUUGUACAGGUGGAGGAAGCAAGCUUCAGCUCGACUCCCGGGUAAGGGUGACCUUUAACCAAAUUCAUGGCUGCAGUGUGUGUUGUUUUUAUAACCAUGCUACAUACAUGUUCAGCCUACUUAUAUCAUUCUUGCCUUCGAGCUUUUGAGAAAACAAAGAAAAAAAAUGACAGACAUAUCUCGGACUUUACUAGAUUGAGGUUUGUAUAUAAUCGUUCGUAGACUUGAUUUUCAUGCAACCGGAUAGUGCACUGAGCGAGAGAAACGAAAAGAAAAGAAAACGGGCUCUGCUAGGAACUACUUGUUGUAACUAGGGCGUUUCCAUAAUACAUAAACGCGCUAUGACUGUGCAUUACGCCCCCUUGAAGGCGGGGGGUUGGUUCAUCGUUGUUGCUGGCCGUUUUUCUGUCUCUAGGAAAAUUUUUGGUGUGAGCAGUGAGCUAAUAUAUUCAUCUGCAGAUUGUGAAACAUGCUGUAGUGCUUUCUUGAUUUUGGAUCUUCUCUCAAACUGUUUUUUUAUUUUUUCAAUGGAGAUAUGAUGUGAUGAUUCAGCUCUUUCUUGAGAUUUUCUUGCUAUUCUUUCCUCAAUUUUUACAGCUAAGUUUUGUCUGAAAACAGAGGAUUCUUGGCUUUGUGAAGCAUUGUUUGUUGAUGGAUAGCUGGUUUCUUGUUUGUUGAUGAACUAAGAAAUUAUGUGUGGGAAGAAAAAGAAUUAAAGAAAAAAGUCAAAUGAAAUAAAGAAUCUGAUACCCUCAAUAAUUUAUGAUGGUUUUUUGUCAUUGUUCAAGGUUGGCAUGUCCGAAUAUUUUUUCUAUUUCAAGAAAAUAUAAUCAUUAAUUGCCACUGAUGUGCAGCUCAUUACAUUUGCUUUAUUCAACACUUGCAAGUUACUACUAUAAUUUAAAUUAAAACCUUAUUAUACUUCAAAAUCUUUGUGAUCAUAUUAUAAUUGGCUACAUCAAUAAGGGCUUGUUCAUCAAGAUUGGCACUCAACCUUCAAAUACAUGAACUUCUAUUAUUUCUAUUUUUCACAUGGUUCUCAAUUAUCCUCAAAUUAAUAGCGAUAUGGACGCCUAGAAUGUUUACAUGACUUAAACGAUAGAUGACAAAACGAUAUAGUUGGAUGUCUAUGCAAUUUUAAUUGGUCACGUUGAUAUUAAUUUGUUAUGUCAACUUGCCACUAUGGUAUUAACUGUGAAAAAUUUCAAAUGAUUGGAACUUCAUGUAUUUAGGCGCAAUUAUUCUUUGAAAAUCAGACAGUUAGAAUCACAACUGUUGAUUAGAAGUGAUGCAAGAUUCUUUCCCAAGUGGGAUCAAAAGCUGUAAGAAAUUCCUCAGAGAAAUUACCAAAAAGGAAUUGAAUUCCACAAAAUAUAAAACAAUAUUACCCCAUAAUGGGAAUUGAAUCAGAUGCAUCCCCAUCUCAAAAACAAAAAAAAAACUAUAAGUAGCAGACACUAACACCAAUCAAUCUAUCAAGAGAGAGAGAGAGAGAGAGUCAAGAAAAUGCAGAUGUACAAGGAAGUAGUGGAGGAAUAUGAAUACAGCUACAGCAACAAUGGCUCAGACAUGCACAUGAUGAAGCCUGCUGCUGCACAGCACAGCUACAAUCAGAGCCAUGGCCAUGCGCCCGAGACGAGGUACGAGGAUGGCUGGGGCGGCGCCAAGAAUAAUGACCAUUAUGCCCUCGGUGGCAAGGUGCAUCACGGCGGCAAUGAGGGGAUGAAGCACGGUGGAUAGGGGCUGAUCAGGGGCAUUUUGGUCAUUACAAGGAGGGGAUGGGGAUGAAGCACGGCGGAUAUGGGGGCGAUCAGGGGCAUUUUGGUCAUUAUAAGGAGGUGAUGGGAUGAAGAA
RNAcentral lists this long non-coding RNA (28185 nucleotides) under Salvia miltiorrhiza (redroot sage). RNAcentral's name for it is "long non-coding RNA (SMIL_LNC007480)". Lineage: Eukaryota; Viridiplantae; Streptophyta; Magnoliopsida; Lamiales; Lamiaceae. The record is from RNAcentral.